Molecule: ribosomal RNA, 465 nt
Filed under: uncultured bacterium
Lineage: Bacteria
Description: partial 16S ribosomal RNA
Rfam family: Bacterial small subunit ribosomal RNA
Source: RNAcentral
GACGAACGCUGGCGGCGUGCUUAACACAUGCAAGUCGAACGGAAAGGCCCCUUUGGGGGUACUCGAGUGGCGAACGGAUGAGUAACACGUGAGUAACCUGCCCUUGACUUCGGGAUAACUUCAGGAAACUGGGGCUAAUACCGGAUAGGAAUCCUUGCUGCAUGGUGGGGGUUGGAAAGCUUCGGCGGUUUUGGAUGGACUCGCGGCUUAUCAGCUUGUUGGUGGGGUAGUGGCUUACCAAGGCUUUGACGGGUAGCCGGCCUGAGAGGGCGACCGGCCACAUUGGGACUGAGAUACGGCCCAGACUCCGACGGGAGGCAGCAGUGGGGAAUAUUGCACAAUGGGCGGAAGCCUGAUGCAGCAACGCCGCGUGCGGGAUGACGGCCUUCGGGUUGUAAACCGCUUUCAGCAGGGGCGAAGCUUGUGGUGACGGUACCUGCAGAAGAAGCACCGGCUAACUACGUG